GUUAUUGAAAUUAGGGGGAGUAAGGGGAAUAAAAAAUGUAUGGAAAUUAUGAGUGUUAGAACUGAGCACAAUCAUUGCAGCAUCUGAUGCAGACAUUUCAGGGUAAGCGAAGUAGUCUCUUCAGAAUAAAAAUGAGGGUAAUUAGACUCAAUUCAUUUAUUCAACACUUGGGUCAAGUCCAUGAACUCUACAAAGAUAACUGUGCCAUGGAUUUUGCUCUCUAGAGUGGUAAGACACGUAUAUGGUUUGUCUACUCAUUCAGCAAACACUUUCUGGGCAUGUUUUGUCUCCUGAGGUCAGCUCUGGAGAUACAAUGGUACAUGGCACAAAUCUUUGCAAGUGCUAAAUAUAAUACCUGAUAUUAAUAGGCUGUGAGUGAAGAGCACAAAAUGUGUAGUGGGUGUUCCUGGGAUACAGUAGCUCUGUGCAUGUAGAAGGGAUUAGUAAGGGCCUCGUGAAGGAGACAGCAUUUGUUCUGGGACUUGAAGGAAAGACAGGAUUGGAAAUGUAGAGAUGCUAAGGAAGGUUGUCCUCAAUAGAGAAAAUGCCAUAGCUGAAGGCCCCUCAUAUGCUAUUCUUAUCUAACUAUGUGAUUCUAAGCUCAGGUGAUCCAAAGAGGCUCCUCAGAGUUGUGGCAAACUGAAGCCAGUGGUGUAGGUUGAAAGGAAUCUGAGAGAAGAUCAACACCCAGGAGAAUCUAAGGUCCCAUUGUGGGUGAAUCAUUUUGGGCCAUGUUUCAGAACAAAAUUUCCACAGACUCACUACCAAAUACUCAUGGACUUAUAUUUUUGGUUCAGAGGUUUGAUGAAAAACUCUGGAAGCCUAUUGCAGAGAACUGAAUAAGUUAGACUUUUGGAAAUCUGCCAGAUGCAAUUGAAAAACCCUGCUCAGCUUUGUCCAAUGUCUCAUUUGAGGAUCAGCAUGAGUUUGUUUACUUGAGAUUAACAGGAGUCAAGGAUAUACAAAUUCAGCAAUGUAUGGAUAACUUUCCCCUUUUUAACGCUGGCCUCACCACAAAACUACCACCAUAUUGUUGAAUUUUGGAAGUUUAUUAUGCUUUAUUUUUUCCUAUAAAAAAAUAAAUGUCAUCACAUUGUAAUAGUUUUAUAACCUGUUUUAUCAUAUUUUAAAAUACAUCUUGAAUAUUCUUUCAUAUAAUUAAUCUUCUACAGCAUAAUUUUAAUAUCUAUGAAGAUUCCAUUAUGUGCUUGUAUUAUACAUUUUUACUCUGAAUACAUUAU
Molecule: long non-coding RNA, 1241 nt
Organism: Homo sapiens (human)
Lineage: Eukaryota; Metazoa; Chordata; Mammalia; Primates; Hominidae
Source: Ensembl